Meleagris gallopavo (turkey) is the source of this 1038-nucleotide non-coding RNA. The record is from RefSeq and is a predicted model, not a curated record. Lineage: Eukaryota; Metazoa; Chordata; Aves; Galliformes; Phasianidae.
AUGUUGGCGUGGGUGUGCCAUGGUGACAUCCACGAUGGACGCACAGCUCUACCAAUCCUACCCCACCCGUUACAAUAAGCACAGUAGGCCCAACAUCUGAGGAGGCUUUAUGACAUCACACAAAAACUCUGAUGUCAACAAGGAACCCUCCGGACUGUAAUCAUCUUUGUAGCAUUAUUGUUCUGGGAUCAGCACCUUUGGGGAUACAUUAGUACGGCGAUUGACGGAAAGAAGCUGAAGAGGGAAACCAAAGUGAACCCAGCCAAGGCAAGAUAAGCUUCUCUCUCAGCCAUGCUGGCAGAUUUCUUUUGCCUUCUUUCCUACACUCCUUCAGCAAUUCAAGCACAGACUGAGAUUAUUCUGCUCCAAAAUCGCAAGGUGCUUGUUUAAAAGGUGUUUUAUUACAUGAAGCAAGAGGAAACAUGAGGAACAAUCAGACACCAGAGGCAUGUUAAGAUGUGUCACUUACACAUUAUGAUAAUGAGAAGGAGUAAAUCCAGGUUCUGUUUUAGGGACGUUCUGUUCCAAAGCAAGAACAUAAAUCUGAAUCAAAUGCCUUGCUUAUUGAAUUUGAAUUCAAAGUUUAUUCCUGACUGCCACUGAAAUCCAGGUCCAAUUUUUCUUUUUAUUUGGACUUGUAUUAAAACAUGAAAAAACUGACACAUCUACCUAGCUUCUGCAAUUUGUUCAGCGUUGUACCUGGUGUUGUCUAAAGGAUGUCUCCUGCUGCAAGGAACAGAACUAGGAGCCUAUAGGCAUGAUAAGAUGCAGAACACCAUUCAAAACCUUUGGUUGGGAAAAAGGCUGUAUGUUCACUGGAAGUAGAAGUAACACAGCAGUACUCUAGCUUAAAAAUAGUAUGUGAAGAACUAACUGGUAUCAACAGUAAAGACAGGAGAACAGUAAAGAUAGGAGCAGCUAGGGAACUUGCUUUAGUGGGGGAGUUGGACUCGAUUUCUUGAGGUCCCUUUCAACCCAUGCAAUUCUGUGAUUCUGUGACACGUUAGAGGGAAUGUACCUAAAAUCACGUGUCUAAAC